GCAUGCAUGGUUGCUUGCCUCCCCCCACAAAGAUGACAAUGGUACGGGGCAGAGGUGAUCAUUGGUUUGAUUGAUUCUCUACGGAUGCAUGUCCUACCUACGGGGGAGAAUCGCCAGGGUCUUCCGGCUAGCUCUACGAGGAGGGAGAGAUCCACAUGUCAGUGACGAUAAUGAUAAUGACGUAAUGAUAGUGGAUCUAUAAGCGUUCUUUACCUGAUCAGAUGGUAAUCAUGAAAGAGAGCAUAGGAGAGAGAAAAAUGGUUGUUUUGCAUGGAGUCAGAAAAAUAUCGACUAUUGGCGCAUAAAACGAGGAGACAACUAGAAAAUCUGUUUUGUACGUGUGCUGACUCUAACCAGAGAUGUUGAUCAGAUGAAAUGUGAAUAAGAAAUUAUUAGCCUGUAAUUAUGAAAAGUAAGCUUAAAAAACUGUACUUUGUGUGAGUUUUUUUUGCUAACGUAGCUUGAGAUAGAGCCCAUAAUAGGCUCUACCAUUGAACAUGCUCUAAUAAAGAUAAUCUAAGUCAUUUUUCUCCUCUCGUAAUUUGGCUUAUAAAUGGUAGAAUGAUUUGUUUUUUUGGAUGGAAAGUAAAAUUGAACUUUUAUAGUAGU
Long non-coding RNA from Oryza brachyantha (malo sina), 609 nucleotides. RefSeq lists it as uncharacterized. NCBI's taxonomy places the organism in Eukaryota, Viridiplantae, Streptophyta, Magnoliopsida, Poales, Poaceae. The transcript is spliced from 3 exons. The record is from RefSeq and is a predicted model, not a curated record.